This 253-nucleotide ribosomal RNA is filed under the name uncultured bacterium. Its description in RNAcentral is "partial 16S ribosomal RNA". It matches the Rfam family "Bacterial small subunit ribosomal RNA", at positions 524 to 776 of the family's 1533-position model. The record is from RNAcentral.
UACGGAGGGUGCAAGCGUUGUUCGGAUUUACUGGGCGUAAAGCGCGCGCAGGUGGCUGAACAAGUCGGGUGUGAAAUCUUGAGGCUCAACCUCGAGGCUGCUCCCGAAACUGUUCGCCUAGGGACUGGUAGAGGCUGGUAGAAUUCCCGGUGUAGCGGUGGAAUGCGUAGAGAUCGGGAAGAAUACCUGUGGCGAAGGCGGCCAGCUGGGCCAGAUCUGACACUGAGGCGCGAAAGCGUGGGGAGCAAACAGG